This 719-nucleotide ribosomal RNA is filed under the name Escherichia coli. RNAcentral describes it as "partial 23S ribosomal RNA". It matches the Rfam family "Bacterial large subunit ribosomal RNA", at positions 2180 to 2893 of the family's 2925-position model. The record is from RNAcentral. Lineage: Bacteria; Pseudomonadati; Pseudomonadota; Gammaproteobacteria; Enterobacterales; Enterobacteriaceae.
AUGGAGCCGACCUUGAAAUACCACCCUUUAAUGUUUGAUGUUCUAACGUUGACCCGUAAUCCGGGUUGCGGACAGUGUCUGGUGGGUAGUUUGACUGGGGCGGUCUCCUCCUAAAGAGUAACGGAGGAGCACGAAGGUUGGCUAAUCCUGGUCGGACAUCAGGAGGUUAGUGCAAUGGCAUAAGCCAGCUUGACUGCGAGCGUGACGGCGCGAGCAGGUGCGAAAGCAGGUCAUAGUGAUCCGGUGGUUCUGAAUGGAAGGGCCAUCGCUCAACGGAUAAAAGGUACUCCGGGGAUAACAGGCUGAUACCGCCCAAGAGUUCAUAUCGACGGCGGUGUUUGGCACCUCGAUGUCGGCUCAUCACAUCCUGGGGCUGAAGUAGGUCCCAAGGGUAUGGCUGUUCGCCAUUUAAAGUGGUACGCGAGCUGGGUUUAGAACGUCGUGAGACAGUUCGGUCCCUAUCUGCCGUGGGCGCUGGAGAACUGAGGGGGGCUGCUCCUAGUACGAGAGGACCGGAGUGGACGCAUCACUGGUGUUCGGGUUGUCAUGCCAAUGGCACUGCCCGGUAGCUAAAUGCGGAAGAGAUAAGUGCUGAAAGCAUCUAAGCACGAAACUUGCCCCGAGAUGAGUUCUCCCUGACUCCUUGAGAGUCCUGAAGGAACGUUGAAGACGACGACGUUGAUAGGCCGGGUGUGUAAGCGCAGCGAUGCGUUGAGCUA